CCAGUGGAUAGCAACAUCUUUUGUUGUAAAUCCUCAAUCAGGCCUAGGUGUAGCGGCAGAAUCUGCAAACAUCAUAACGUACCAAAGAUUUUUCAUGCGAUUUGAACUGCCGUAUUCAGCGAUACGGGGAGAAACACUUAUUCUUCAGAUUACAAUUUUUAAUUACAGGAACGAAGAUUUAAAAGUUCACGUGAAUCUCAACAUAAAUGUCAACCUAACCUUUGUAGAUGUGAAAGGCAAUAUAGUUGUGCCUACGGGUACAGCAUGGACAAAGGUA
This is a long non-coding RNA of Mytilus trossulus (common blue mussel), 277 nucleotides long. RefSeq lists it as uncharacterized. NCBI's taxonomy places the organism in Eukaryota, Metazoa, Mollusca, Bivalvia, Mytilida, Mytilidae. The record is from RefSeq and is a predicted model, not a curated record. The transcript is spliced from 3 exons.